RNAcentral lists this transfer RNA (68 nucleotides) under Renova oscari. Its description in RNAcentral is "tRNA-Val". It matches the Rfam family "tRNA". Rfam says of the family: Transfer RNA (tRNA) molecules are approximately 80 nucleotides in length. Their secondary structure includes four short double-helical elements and three loops (D, anti-codon, and T loops). Further hydrogen bonds mediate the characteristic L-shaped molecular structure. tRNAs have two regions of fundamental functional importance: the anti-codon, which is responsible for specific mRNA codon recognition, and the 3' end, to which the tRNAs corresponding amino acid is attached (by aminoacyl-tRNA synthetases). tRNAs cope with the degeneracy of the genetic code in two manners: having more than one tRNA (with a specific anti-codon) for a particular amino acid; and 'wobble' base-pairing, i.e. permitting non-standard base-pairing at the 3rd anti-codon position. The record is from RNAcentral. Lineage: Eukaryota; Metazoa; Chordata; Actinopteri; Cyprinodontiformes; Rivulidae.
UAGAAUAUAGCUAAAUGUAUAGCAUUUCUUUUACACCGAAAAGUUGCCCUUGACAGGGGCUGUUCUAA